AGCGAACGCUGGCGGCAGGCUUAACACAUGCAAGUCGAGCGGGCGUAGCAAUACGUCAGCGGCAGACGGGUGAGUAACGCGUGGGAACGUACCUUUGGUUCGGAACAACCCAGGGAAACUUGGGCUAAUACCGGAUAAGCCCUUACGGGGAAAGAUUUAUCGCCGAAAGAUACGGCCGCGUCUGAUUAGCUAGUUGGUGAGGUAACGGCUC
This 211-nucleotide ribosomal RNA is filed under the name uncultured bacterium. Its description in RNAcentral is "partial 16S ribosomal RNA". It matches the Rfam family "Bacterial small subunit ribosomal RNA", at positions 29 to 266 of the family's 1533-position model. The record is from RNAcentral.